UUACACAAUAUGAAGGCAGGCUGGAUCCCCCUAGCAGUGCGUUGCCUUGCGGCGUGCGCUGGUAGGCCGGCCUUGCUGAAUUAUUCACCCGUGUCUUUUGCGUACUUUCUGUUUCCUUGGUGGGCUCGCCCACCACAAGGACCAACCAUAAACCUUUUUGCAAUAGCAGUCAGCGUCAGUAACAACAUAAUAAUUACAACUUUCAACAACGGAUCUCUUGGUUCUGGCAUCGAUGAAGAACGCAGCGAAAUGCGAUACGUAGUGUGAAUUGCAGAAUUCAGUGAAUCAUCGAAUCUUUGAACGCACAUUGCGCCCUUUGGUAUUCCAAAGGGCAUGCCUGUUCGAGCGUCAUUUGUACCCUCAAGCUUUGCUUGGUGUUGGGCGUCUUGUCUCUAGCUUGGCUGGAGACUCGCCUUAAAGUCAUUGGCAGCCGGCCUACUGGUUUCGGAGCGCAGCACAAGUCGCGCUCUCUUCCAGCCAAGGUCAGCGUUCCAGCAAGCCAUUUUUUUUUUCAACUUUUGACCUCGGAUCAGGUAGGGAUACCCGCUGAACUUAAGCAUAUCAAUAAGCGG
Molecule: ribosomal RNA, 572 nt
Filed under: fungal endophyte
Lineage: Eukaryota; Fungi
Description: eukaryotic LSU rRNA
Rfam family: 5.8S ribosomal RNA (bases 198-351)
Source: RNAcentral